Molecule: ribosomal RNA, 492 nt
Filed under: uncultured bacterium
Lineage: Bacteria
Description: partial 16S ribosomal RNA
Rfam family: Bacterial small subunit ribosomal RNA
Source: RNAcentral
AGUGAACGCUGGCGGUAGGCCUAACACAUGCAAGUCGAACGGCAGCACAGUAAGAGCUUGCUCUUACGGGUGGCGAGUGGCGGACGGGUGAGGAAUACAUCGGAAUCUACUUUUUCGUGGGGGAUAACGUAGGGAAACUUACGCUAAUACCGCUUACGACCUACGGGUGAAGGCAGGGGAUCUUCGGACCUUGCGCGAUUGAAUGAGCCGAUGUCGGAUUAGCUAGUUGGCGGGGUAAAGGCCCACCAAGGCGACGAUCCGUAGCUGGUCUGAGAGGAUGAUCAGCCACACUGGAACUGAGACACGGUCCAGACUCCUACGGGAGGCAGCAGUGGGGAAUAUUGGACAAUGGGCGCAAGCCUGAUCCAGCCAUACCGCGUGGGUGAAGAAGGCCUUCGGGUUGUAAAGCCCUUUUGUUGGGAAAGAAAAGCAGCAGGUUAAUACCCCGCUGUUCUGACGGUACCCAAAGAAUAAGCACCGGCUAACUUCGUG